Molecule: long non-coding RNA, 1470 nt
Organism: Cyprinus carpio (common carp)
Lineage: Eukaryota; Metazoa; Chordata; Actinopteri; Cypriniformes; Cyprinidae
Exons: 5
Source: RefSeq, a predicted model, not a curated record
GACAGGUUUGGGAAGCACUGCUCUAGAACAAUAUCGCUUCAUUAUAUUAGCAUGACAGGUCAGAAAUUUCCGUUUAAGAUCAAGAGUAUGCACUAAAUCUGUGUCAUAUGGACCAGCAAAAUGGGCUGAUGGAGCAGAACCACGAACUGGCAGAAGUAUGAAGACUUCGUCUCCAGGUUUAAUUACACAUGUAACAGAUUUACUAUCGAAGCAUUUUUCAUGCUUUUCUGAGCUUCGGCCAAUGACCCCUUCGCGAACUUACAGGGGCUGACACAGUCCAAAAUGACUUGCUCAAAAGGCUCACCAAUUACAGGGACUGGAACCAAUAGAGCAGGCCAGGUCCAAAGAAAUGCUUAUAAUUCCUAGAUGACCUGAUAGACAACGAUCGUGAGCCAAACUUAACACUAAGUGGUCGGCAACACAAUUUGACAGCAGUGACAAAGCACUCUACCAAAGAGGGAUCGUUUCACUGUGCUGUGAUCAUCAGUUCACACUUAACAGCUCCAUCUGGACCUGACAUGUCUGAUCUCGCUCCUGCGCUUUCAUCUGCAUAUGGGCGAAUUGGACCUUAAGCCGCACAGACCCACUGGAAGGAAGAGAAAAAGGAUGAAAGGGUGGCAAGGCAGCCUUGGCAUCGGUCUCCACCUUGGUGGCCUCACUCAGCGGCUUCUUCAAUGUAAUAGGACUUAGAUGUGUAUCAACAGCCUACUAGAUGGCCUCACCAUCAUCUGCAUCUGGCAACACAAGCACAUUUAGUUCAACCAGCUUUUGAAAAAUAACACUUCUAAUUGUUUUCUUUCAUGCUUUUCUCACCACAGAGAACCCGUAAUGGUCGGCAAUUUUCAACAAAUCAUCCUUCCUACACCUGUCAAAUUUAUCUAAAGUUGGGUUAUUAAUAAAUAACUGUAAAUCAAAGGUACUCAUAUUUUUAGUCAUGCCACUUUCACUAUAUCCGUACAAGUGUUUCCUGUCUAUUACAGCACAAACCAACAUAAAGAUAUAUAAACACAUAAAAUUAAUGUCCAGGAAGGAUCCAAUUGUUUAGAUCCCGGAUGAGCCCCCAUAAAUGUUUUGUCCCUUAAGCUUUUAGGAUUAGUUUGGGUAGGGAAGAAUGGGAGAAUAACAUUUGAAAAGUGUGUGUGUGAGUAUAAACAAGAAUGAUGGCGGGCAAAAAUAAUACAGAAGGAUGUGCAAACUCCACUCAAAAAUGUUCAUUAUUCCAAGGUUUACAGUGCUCAGUGAAAGGUGAGAAUACAGCAUUUUACAGCAUUGAUGCAGUAUGUGGUCUGGAAUUGUCAUGUUGGAAAAUACAAUGUCUUCCCUGAAAGAGAGGAUGUCUGGAUGGGUGCAUAUGUUGUUCUACAACUUGGAUAUACCUUUCAGCAUGGAUGGUGCCUUUCCAGUUGUGUAAGCUGCCCAUGCCACACUCACUCAUGCAACCCCAUACCAUCAGAGAUGCAGGCUUCUGAA